UACUGUCUCUAAAAAAUACAUGAAUGAAUGAAUAAAUAAAUAAAAUUUAGAAAAGAUGGAACUAGAUUGUUUCCUAUUUACUGAGUAUAUAGGUAACUUGCCAAUUUUUUGGUAGCUCUGUUUAAUAAAAAUACACUACAGGAUUCCCAAAUAAGGCCACAGCAGGAAGAUAAAAUUAUGCUUGAUAAUUUUAGGGUUGUUAGGAUUAUUUAUUUUAGUUCUCUAAAAUUGGUAAGAUGUUAAUUCUUCAUCAUCUACAUGGUUUAUCUAAUGGUAAUACCUUCCUUUUCGAAUGAUGAUGCAUAUUUUGCAUUAUUUUUGUAUUAGAGGAAGUAACAAAAUCGGUCAGGAUGUACAUAAACCAAUAAUUGACAAUCUGCACCUGUAACCUCAAUUGCUCCCUUGAGCAGUCUGGCCCUUUUUGUUAAGAUCAUAGAAUUUAGAAUCAAAGAAUUGCCUUCCGUUUCUGACUAUGCUACUUAUUAGCUGUGUGACUGUUUAUUUUAGGAGUACUUUUUGGCUCCCAAAGAAUUGGCAGGGUACCUAUAUAAUGAGUAAAUGGGAAUAUAAUUCUACCUGCAAAAUCACCAAAAUAGUGAUUUAAAUAAUGUUUUUUAAAAACAUUAUUUAAAGUAGAAAGAAGUAGAGAGAUAGGCAAUCCAGGGCAGGUAUGGUGCUUCCACAAAAAUCUUGAAGAAUUCAGCCUUCUUUUUUUCUGCUUCACCAUCCUCAGUUGGUGACUUUUUUCCUGAUGGUCAUCUCAUGGUCUAAGAUGGAGUUUUUGCCAGUGCUGCUGCCUGUUAGGCAUCAGGAAAGACGAAGAGCUUCUUUUGGCAGAACCAGUUUCUUUUCCAACCCACGCAACACUUCCACUUAAAGCUCAUGACCUAGAUGUGAGGGAGGUAGGAAAUGUUAUCUUUGCCAGGCACAGCUUAAAAAGAGGGGUUUUGUUACCAGGGACAGAGAGAAGAAUGGAUGUUUGCGAGGCAACUAGCAUUCUCUGCCAUAGUGACCUUGGAUCCUUUCAUCUCAUUGAGCCUCAGCAUUCUUGUCUAUAAAAAAUGGUUGUAAAAACAGGAUCUAAUUCAAGAUCCUAUUGUUUUGAGUAUCAAGUGAGUUAAUGCAUCUAAUGCAUUAAGCACGGUGUCUGGCAUGUAAGUAAGCAAUAAAUGUUAAUUGUUAUUCUUGCUACUUCCUUAAUAUCUCUAGGUUAAUGUCCUAUAGAUACUUAAAAUGCUUAUGUGUAUUAUAGAUUCUUACUGCAUUACCUAGCUCACCACCUACCUAUUCCAACAGGCUGGAAAUCUCAGAGCAGUCUUUAUGUCUUUAUUGCUGUCUGUACCUAAAAGUCAUCAAGUGUAAUUCUGCCUGCAAAAUUCUUCAUGGAUUUCUCAAAUCUGUCCCUCCAUUUCCAUUCCCAUAUCUGAAUUCAAACCGUCAUCUUUCCUUGCCUUCUACACAUCUCCACUAUCUACAAGAUCACAUCCAAACUCCUUAGAAUAGUAUUCAUGUCUUCAUAUAGUCUGAUUGCAGUAUUAAAAGCUUAAUCUUGAUUUCACCACAUCUCCCUAGUCUCCAGAUCACACAUUUCUUGUACUCUUAACUUCACUGAAAAUUCACUAUUCCCCAAAUAGGACAUUAUGAUUCUAGUUUCAUCUUCAGGGUAAAUUUUUAUGAAUUUUCAAGUUGAAACUUGAGGAAACUAAGCAUAGAUGUGUUUCAGCCUAUAAUUUUGAACAUUAGAAUGUGAUUUCUGGAAACUCCUUUGUGAUUUUAUUUAUGAGGACAACAGACGGACAGGUAUUCCAGUAUUUCUUAUCAAAGCUGAGUAUCUAAAUGUACAAAUGUGAAAGAACAAAGGGCUUUUAAGUGAAAGGAAUGGAUGGAAGGGAGUUGAUGCAUUUCUAAUGGAUGGGUUAGUUUGUUCAGCAGUUUUGAAAGUAUAGGUUUAGAUCUAGAGACUCGUUUUUACUUUGCAUUAGUUUAGGUACUUAAUGUGAAUGUUAUAUAUGCAUUUUGCUUUCAAAUUUAAAAAAUAAGUAGGGAAGGUUAGCUUUACUUUUAUUGUGUGUGUGUGUGUGUAAUGUGUAAUGGGACGUAUAAUGUAAUUUCAAAGCCCUCUGAUGCAAUAUUUUGGAAAUAAGUUGGUAGUACAAUUAAAACAUAUCUUUGGUCAUAGAUUACUUGGCCUUAUGCCAUUUUCAUAGGCAAUGUCCUACUUAAAUAGCCUGGAUUGGCUGAGAAAAAUAAUUGCUGCUAUGAAAUAAUUUUGCAAUUACCACUGUAAUUAAGGGCAGUUUGUUAAUGAAAGUGCUUGGUGAAUAAUGACUGCAGGGCACUCCAUCUUGCCGCUUCAUGCCAGAUGAUUGGUUCAUGUGGUGGAGGUAGUUAGGGAAUUAGUGACACAGCUGUCAUGGUUACAGGAUGGAUGUAAAUAUCCUUUGCAGUUGAUGAUGAAGAACAGUCAUUAGCCUCCUGCCCCUUGGGAACUGGUCAGAGGAACAAAAAUAAACUUAACACAUGAUGGUAAAAGCCAUUCCUUAUGUCUCCUUUUCUUCAGUAUGAACAAUUAACAUUCUAAUAGAAACUGCAGAGAGCAUGUGGAUGAACCUCUCCACUUUACAGGCGUGUUAGUGUGAUAAAUGUUCUUUUGUGUGGGGCAUUGGUUGUUCACAGUUUAUAACCACUCUUAUUAGCUUAUAGGCCAGUUAAAAACUGCUCUUUAGAGACCCACAGGCCCUAUUUAAAUUUUUCGUGUUCAUCUCCAGGUGUUGUGCAUUCAGUUUGACCCUUUGAAGACGGUCCACGGAUGGAUUUUUGCAUGCUGUCUGCAAGGCUUAAGGGGCAAUUGAAGAUCAAUUUUCUGUAUCUGGGCUUACUUGCUUAUGUAAAAUAUAUAUUGUUAUGAAGAAGACCUAAAUGCUUCUCUGAUCUUCCUUUGUAGUUUGCAAAAGUCAUUGAAGGUUAAGGAGCCUGUUUUUCCUCCUCCUCCUUAAAAUAAACGUCCUAGGUGUUUAAGUAUGCUUCGUAUUUAUAUUCAUUCCACUUCCUUGGUGUUUUGAUGUUGUUUUUCAUUGUAAAUUUGCUUAAGCAAUCUUUUGUGGAGUAAUUUCAUAACAUGCACACACUGUGGUUUUACAUUGAGUUGCUCGUGAUCUGCAAUUCAUUAACUUUUGCUGACUAGGAAGUCAGUAUAGCACGUUGCAUUUUCUCUGUUUAUCUUGCUAUAUAGUCAGUUUCAUUCCUUGUAAAAGAUGUUAGUAGAACACUUCCUUAAGUAUGGCUUCUCUUGCUGUCUGAUAUGCUGAAUCUUUUCCUCAGGGCCUUAAGGAGAGAUUGUUGGAGUUUGUAUCAUUGCCUCAGAGGUGACCAGAUAUCCUCACUAAAGGAACGUAACAGUUUUCUGGGUUUUAGCUCAAAAUGACUAUUCACGGUAACACUAUAUAUUUUAAGGAUGAAUUUAUUGCUGCUUGUGUCCGGAUAUGAUUCUCUGCAUUUGCUGUUACUUUUGUGCCCGUGUCUCCUCUUGACUUUAACAAGAGGAGGUGCCAAAUGGAAGGAUCAGAAUUCCACCUCAAAACUAUCAUACACUGUAGCCCGAACCUCUGCCUCUUCCUUUUCUCUUCUUUGGCCGUUGUGGAAAGAAUGAAUACUAUCAACCAGCUGAGGUGAACAGAGCCUUGUUCAGAUGUUUAAAUGCUUGCUUUGCAACUGAGUCAUUCACUCUCCCAAGAUGAACUUCUUUUCUCAUUAGCCAUAGCUAACUCACUGUGGAGAUGUUUCAAGCUGACUUGAUUGUGAUCAGACAUGAUAGGAUACAAGGUAACUUGCUGACCCUAAAUAGUAGGGGUGAGUCCCCCAAAGCCAAAUAACUUGAAAAACCUUACAUACUGAGCAUUUUUAAGAAUCUGUUUAUCUUAGUCCAGUAAAUGACAAAAUCCUUUGGAAAAUGGGCAUUAUUCUCAGGCAUGUUCAUGGCUGGCCAGAUUAUUUGGGUUUUGGCGGGAUAUGACUUUGGGGACUCUUCGCAGGAUGCCUGGGCACAGGAGGAGCUGAAAUGCUCCACAUUAAACCAACAUUGGGAAGCAAGAGGAGAGAAGCAUGCUAGAAAACACCCUCCCAGUUGAAUGCAAAUUGCACUGUAUUAUGAUUUAUUCUCUCUUUAGCAAAAGUGAGGGCUUUGUGGUAGGUCAAGAUAACUAAAUGGGAAAGAAAGAAACAAUUGUGUUUUUAAUUGGUGUUGCUUCAGGUACUGGGACUGAGAAACUUUUCUUCUUUUUCAGGAGAGUUAUGACACGCUGUCGUAUUUAGAUACUCAGUUUGUGUUCCCAUUUUUGUUUUGUUUGGUGGUGUUUUGAUUUUUUUUUUUCUAUUUUGUUUGUUUGUUUGUUUUUGGCUAAACAUAUGCGAUGCGUGUUUAAUUGAAUUUCCAAGGCAGCGAUACAGGCACCCGUCAAAAAGUGUAAAGAUUCACCCAGGUUUUCGGGAGAGGUGGCCAUGUGAAUUUAACAAUCUGCAAUGACAGGGGAAAAAAAGUUACUGAGUUUGUGUAAGUAGUUGAGAUUCCCAAGUAAAACAGCGUCUGUUCUCAUGUAGCUUUCUGGGCUAGUUUGGACAGGAGCUGGCAUCUCAUUUUUAUACAUUAACAACUCUUGUCAGAUUUCUCUAAUUUCUUCAGGACAAGUCAAAACCCUUAUAGUUCUCCACAUGAAAAUGUGUCGUGUCCCAUCCUGUCCUUUUGCCAUCUUUUCUAUCAAAGAAACACUAAUUAUAAAAAUUGAACAUAAAUUUGUGCUGUUUAAUAGGUUUGGGUUUAAUUUUGCCUCAGUGGGAAGACGUUUCCAUUAAAAGAGUCCUUUUUUUUUUCUCUUCCUCCCCCCUUUUUCUUUUGGUAGAACAUACUAAAGAAAUUUGUCUGAUAUUUCUGCUCACAUUGUUUAGAGAAAUUAUACUCCCAACCAUCUCUUGGCUGCUUUCGGGUGAAAUACAUCAACAUCUUUGAGACAUUUUAACCUGUGGUUAGACUGGCUUUAUUCUCUUCUGCUACUUUCCCACAAAUAAAGAGUUGUCAGAGUUCUUGCUAUGCAAUAGAUUCUACAUUUAAGGCAGGAUUUAGAUUAUUAGUCAUCUGAUGUUUUAGGUGUUAGCGCAACUAGAUACUUAAUUUUGGUUUUGUGCCAAUGCAAAUCACCUGGAGUUUUAUUUUUGGUAAGGUGGGGACAAGAAAUAAAUGAAGUGUGUUCUAAGCUGUUUAUUUUAUGUAGAAUAUAAUUUUAUUUUAAAUAUACUCUUCCUUGAUCUGUCUUGUUGCUCUAGUAUUGAUAUGGCAUGAAGUAGAAGUAGAUGUUUUUCCUGAGUAUGAUUUACUGUAAGUCCUGUGACUUCAGCUAUAUUGAGGCUACUACUAAUGGAUUAGUACAUUCCCGCAGUGUAUUUAUUUAGCAUCCUACCCUCCAGUAAUCAAAACAUGAGAUGCUUCAGUGUAGAACUGCUUGCUAGAGGUGAUGGAGAGAAAACACACCUCUCUAGUGGUGAUAUUAAUCUGUUUUCACUGUCUUGUGAAUGUGCUUAAUGUCUAGGGCAUGUUAAAUUGAGUUAUCCAAAAAUAGAGUCCCUGAAAUUUAAAUAAAGCGGCAUUGGAGCAAGAAACUAAUCAUUCUUUUUCUGAUAGUUAACCAAUUGCCACCUUUCCCAGCUCGCAUUAUAGCAGCUCCUAUGGGUGUCACUACACUGUCACAUUGUUCUGUAAUAUUCUGUUUACAUUUCUGUCUUCUGUACCAGACUGUGAGCUUCUUGCAGGAAGGGAAUGUGUUGUAUUCAUGUUCGCAUGGAACUUCUAGUCACUAGCUGAUGAACAAAUUUAAAAAAUGAAGAAACAUUAAAUACAUUAAGUAGGAAAAUCUUAUGCUUGUGCUGAUAGGUGAAAACUAAUCUGAUGACAUUCCUUCAAAGUUUGUUCAAACAGAUUGGUAUUUGUGAUUUCUGGAUAUAGGGAAUCUUCUUGUUGCCCAUCACUGCUCAUCUGAUUAAUCUUAGUU
Cercocebus atys (sooty mangabey) is the source of this 6038-nucleotide long non-coding RNA. RefSeq lists it as uncharacterized. The transcript has 2 exons. The record is from RefSeq and is a predicted model, not a curated record. NCBI's taxonomy places the organism in Eukaryota, Metazoa, Chordata, Mammalia, Primates, Cercopithecidae.